AAAGUACUCCUUUCGUUCGGAAAUACUUUUCAUAAAAAUGGAUGUAUCUAGAUGUAUUUUUAUUCUACAUACAUUCACUUUUAUCCAUUUUUACGACAAAUAAUUCUGGACGGAAGGAGUACAAG
Non-coding RNA from Hordeum vulgare subsp. vulgare (domesticated barley), 125 nucleotides. The record is from Rfam. Lineage: Eukaryota; Viridiplantae; Streptophyta; Magnoliopsida; Poales; Poaceae.